This is a long non-coding RNA of Lagopus muta (rock ptarmigan), 609 nucleotides long. RefSeq lists it as uncharacterized. The record is from RefSeq and is a predicted model, not a curated record. The transcript is spliced from 4 exons. NCBI's taxonomy places the organism in Eukaryota, Metazoa, Chordata, Aves, Galliformes, Phasianidae.
AAGCAGAUGCUUGGAGCCCGUCUCAAAAGGGUUGCAGGAUCAUAAUUCCAGUACAUACAGUCUGCAUUCACUUCUGCAAAUACAAAUGGACAGUCGUAGUCCAGAUCUACGUUUCCUUCUUUGACGGCAUUCCUUGAGGCAGGACCACACUGAUAAAUUCCUAUGGCAUCAAGAAAAUAGACCUUAGAACUAAUCGAUGGUUUUAAACAUUACUCCUGGAAUGAAAUCUGUGUACCUCCACUUUCUUCUUGGGGAGUUGCAUCCAGAAUUUGCCAUCCGCUGUAUGAAGGGCCCAAGUCACUGCGGGAAAACCAGCUUUCAUUCCAGACAUGGAAAUUCCUACAUUCAAGAAUAAAUAAAGCAAGCCCAUGGUUAUGUGGUGAAUGUUCUAUCCCCAUACUGCAGAAGUGUAGGUCAAGUGGAGAAACUGGAAAUACUAAUCAAACUACAAGUAAAUCAGUUCUUUCAGGGGAAUGCUGAUAUAUUCCUACCUGAAGACCAAGGGUUGAAGAGCAAAACAAAAGUGCCAAGGACUACUGGAGACGAUCUGCCAGCUGAAGUACUUUGAACACUCAGCUUGUAACGUCCAAUGACAGCAUUAGCUGGGCU